ACGAAGAGAAAACUUGAAAUCAUUCUUAGUGAGGACAGUCUUAAAUAAUACAGACACAGAUAAAAUGAAUCAUAUAAAAGUUGGUGCUGCUGUCUUUGUGACGCUCGUCUUGCUGAGUACAAUUACAGAAGCUACACUUCACUUCUCGGGUAAAGGGAGCCAGAUGUGGUCUGCAGGAAAGAGGGAUCGCCUGGAUGAUUAUGUAUCUAUAUCGGACUUAAUUGAAGUCGCAAACAAUUUGCGUGAAGACGUGGAAAAACUAAUGGACUUGUUGCAAGCCAAGGCCGAAGAAGAACUGAAAACGAGGCAGUAGCAACCAUGAAUCUAGUUUAAGACAAUCAUUAUUUCACAUGGAAAAGCUAUAUUUCUGUCUGUCAGUUAAUUAUUAAAGAUAUGUUCUGUGCAUUGAAGCACAUGGGACGCCCUAUAGAAACUCAAAUGAUAAACACCAUAUUUUGAUCACAGUGUGUUUGCACAUGCGUCGUCAACUAUUACAUCGCAAUUUCAAAUUGUGCACCUGCAACUUAUUUGCAUUUACAUUAUUUUCUUAGUUUAUUUUGCAUUCACAAAUAUUCUUUAUCCAUGUUUGGGUAACAUGUAUCUCUGGCAUUAUAGUUGUUGCGCCACAUACGGCGAACAAUGUAUAUCUAUAUGUAAAAUACAAAUAAAGGAAAUACCUAUUGUACACUA
Long non-coding RNA from Saccoglossus kowalevskii, 690 nucleotides. RefSeq lists it as uncharacterized. The record is from RefSeq and is a predicted model, not a curated record. Lineage: Eukaryota; Metazoa; Hemichordata; Enteropneusta; Harrimaniidae.